RNAcentral lists this ribosomal RNA (465 nucleotides) under uncultured bacterium. RNAcentral's name for it is "partial 16S ribosomal RNA". It matches the Rfam family "Bacterial small subunit ribosomal RNA", at positions 339 to 795 of the family's 1533-position model. The record is from RNAcentral.
CUACGGGUCGCAGCAGUGAGGAAUUUUGCGCAAUGGGGGCAACCCUGACGCAGCAACGCCGCGUGAGUGAAGAAGGCCCUUGGGUCGUAAGGCUCUGUCAAUGGGGAAGAAGUUACUUGGUAUUAAUAGUGCCUUGUAUUGACGGUACCCAUGAAGGAAGCACCGGCUAACUCCGUGCCAGCAGCCGCGGUAAUACGGGGGGUGCAAGCGUUAUUCGGAAUUAUUGGGCGUAAAGGGCACGCAGGCGGUCCUGUCAGUCAGAUGUGAAAGCCCAGGGCUCAACCCUGGACGUGCAUUUGAAACAGCAGGACUUGAGUACGGGAGAGGAAAGGGGAAUUCCUGGUGUAGAGGUGAAAUUCGUAGAUAUCAGGAGGAACACCGGUGGCGAAGGCGCCUUUCUGGACCGAUACUGACGCUGAGGUGCGAAGGCGUGGGUAGCGAACGGGAUUAGAUACCCCAGUAGUC